AUUGAACGCUGGCGGCAGGCCUAACACAUGCAAGUCGAGCGGAUGAAGGGAGCUUGCUCCUGGAUUCAGCGGCGGACGGGUGAGUAAUGCCUAGGAAUCUGCCUGGUAGUGGGGGAUAACGUCCGGAAACGGGCGCUAAUACCGCAUACGUCCUGAGGGAGAAAGUGGGGGAUCUUCGGACCUCACGCUAUCAGAUGAUCCUAGGUCGGAUUAGCUAGUUGGUGGGGUAAAGGCCUACCAAGGCGACGAUCCGUAACUGGUCUGAGAGGAUGAUCAGUCACACUGGCACUGAGACACGGUCCAGACUCAUACGGGAGGCAGCAGGGGGGAAUAUUGGACAAUGGGCGAAAGCAUGAUCCAGCCAUGCCGCGUGUGUGAAGAAGGUCUUCGGAUUGUAAAGCACUUUAAGUUGGGAGGAAGGGAAGUAAGUUAAUACCUUGCUGUGUUGACGUUACCAACAGAAUAAGCACCGGCUAACUUCGUG
RNAcentral lists this ribosomal RNA (484 nucleotides) under uncultured bacterium. Its description in RNAcentral is "partial 16S ribosomal RNA". It matches the Rfam family "Bacterial small subunit ribosomal RNA", at positions 30 to 507 of the family's 1533-position model. The record is from RNAcentral.